GAUUCAAGUUCAAAUGAAAAUGCUGCACAAAGCAACACCAGCAACAAUGAAAAUGCGGGUCAGGACGAGAAGAAUGCCACUCAGAGUAACACUGACAACAAUGAAAAUGUGGGUCAGAAUGAGAACAAUGCUGCUCAGAGCAACACUGAGAACAAUGAAAAUGCGGGUCAGAAUGAGAGCAAUGCUGCUCAGAGAAACACCGAGAACAAUGAAAAUGCAAGUCAGAACGAGAGCAAUGCAACUCAGAGCAACACUGAGAACAAUGAGAAUGCGGAUCAGAACGAGCACAAUGCUGCUCCAAGUAACACUGAGAACAAUGAGAAUGCGGGUCAGAACGAGAACAAUGCCACUCCAAGUAACACCGACAACAAUGAGAAUGCAGGUCAGAACGAGAACAAUGUGACUCAGAGCAACACUGACAACAGCAACAGCAACAACAACAACGAAAAUGCAAGUCAGAAC
This 462-nucleotide long non-coding RNA is filed under the name Gossypium barbadense (sea-island cotton). RNAcentral describes it as "long non-coding RNA (GBAR_LNC014661)". Lineage: Eukaryota; Viridiplantae; Streptophyta; Magnoliopsida; Malvales; Malvaceae. The record is from RNAcentral.